Molecule: non-coding RNA, 110 nt
Filed under: Seinonella peptonophila
Lineage: Bacteria; Bacillati; Bacillota; Bacilli; Caryophanales; Thermoactinomycetaceae
Description: SAM-I sequence
Rfam family: SAM riboswitch aptamer (S box leader)
About the family: The SAM riboswitch is found upstream of a number of genes which code for proteins involved in methionine or cysteine biosynthesis in Gram-positive bacteria.
Source: Rfam by way of RNAcentral
CUCUUAUCCAGAGUGGCGGAGGGACGGGCCCGAUGAUGCACGGCAACCCUGAUUUUUGAAUCAGAAGGUGCCAAUUCCUGUAGAGGUUUGAUACCUCUAGAAGAUAAGAG